UACGUAGGGGGCGAGCGUUGUCCGGAUUUACUGGGCGUAAAGAGCGCGCAGGCGGUCGUUCAAGUCGCGUGUGAAAGCCCCCGGCUCAACUGGGGAGGGUCACGCGAUACUGAUCGACUCGAAGGCAGGAGAGGGUAGUGGAAUUCUCGGUGUAGCGGUGAAAUGCGUAGAUAUCGAGAGGAACACCUGCGGCGAAGGCGGGUUGCUGGGCUGACACUGACGCUGAUGCGCGAAAGCCAGGGGAGCGAACGGG
This 253-nucleotide ribosomal RNA is filed under the name uncultured bacterium. RNAcentral describes it as "partial 16S ribosomal RNA". It matches the Rfam family "Bacterial small subunit ribosomal RNA", at positions 524 to 776 of the family's 1533-position model. The record is from RNAcentral.